AAUAUAUGUGAUUUUAAUAAAAACCAUGUAUUACUAAAAAAUAAGAAUAUAUUUUUAAAGAAAUCAUGUGUGAUCUUAAUAAAAAACGUGUAUUACUACAAAAUAUCAUGAUAAAAAGAGAUAUUAAACUGAAUAGAAUGUUUUUUCCAAAAAAUACCAUGUGCUUUUUAUAAAUACUAUGUAAUAAGAGAAAAUAACAAGAUAAAAAGAGGAUAUUAUGUUAUCGCAUGUAUUUCAGAAAAAUAACAUGUUACAAAGGACAUUUACGUAAUUACACGUGUUCUCCAACAUGUUUCCGACAAGAUAUUAUGACUCAAGGUUAGUUUGUACAUUCUUUUCAAAUCUAUAGUCAUUUAUUAUAAAUACUCUUAAAUAUAUUAA
This 381-nucleotide small RNA is filed under the name Arabidopsis thaliana (thale cress). Its description in RNAcentral is "ATSL194790". The record is from RNAcentral. Lineage: Eukaryota; Viridiplantae; Streptophyta; Magnoliopsida; Brassicales; Brassicaceae.